UCCGGCUUGUCACCGGCAGUCUCGUCAGAGUGCCCAGCUUAACCUGAUGGCAACAGACGAUGAGGGUUGCGCUCGUUGCGGGACUUAACCCAACAUCUCACGACACGAGCUGACGACAGCCAUGCAGCACCUGUGUUCCAGCCAGCCGAACUGAAGAAGCCGAUCUCUCGGCCCCAUACUGGACAUGUCAAGGGUAGGUAAGGUUCUUCGCGUUGCUUCGAAUUGAACAACAUGCUCCACCGCUUGUGCGGGUCCCCGUCAAUUCCUUUGAGUUUUAACCUUGCGGCCGUACUCCCCAGGCGGUUUGCUUAAUGAUUUCUCUCCGCCGCCGAAGCCCUAAGGACUCCGACAGCUAGCAAACAUGGUUUACGGCGUGGACUAC
RNAcentral lists this unclassified non-coding RNA (382 nucleotides) under uncultured Alphaproteobacteria bacterium. RNAcentral describes it as "contains 16S-23S intergenic spacer region". Lineage: Bacteria; Pseudomonadati; Pseudomonadota; Alphaproteobacteria. The record is from RNAcentral.